UAGGGAAUAUUGGGCAAUGGAGGGAACUCUGACCCAGCCAUGCCGCGUGCAGGAUGAAGGCGUUAUGCGUUGUAAACUGCUUUUUAUAUAGGAAGAAAUAGUCCUUGCGAGGAAAGUUGACGGUACUAUAUGAAUAAGCACCGGCUAACUCCGUGCCAGCAGCCGCGGUAAUACGGAGGGUGCAAGCGUUGUCCGGAUUUAUUGGGUUUAAAGGGUGCGUAGGCGGUUUAUUAAGUCAGUGGUGAAAGACGGUCGCUCAACGAUUGCAGUGCCAUUGAUACUGGUAGACUUGAGUAUGAUUGAGGUAGCUGGAAUGGAUAGUGUAGCGGUGAAAUGCAUAGAUAUUAUCCAGAACACCAAUUGCGUAGGCAAGUUACUAAGUCAUAACUGACGCUGAGGCACGAAAGCUGGGGAGCAAACAGGAUUAGAUACCCUUGUAGUCCCUGAGCGGGCUGGCAAGGCGCAU
This 466-nucleotide ribosomal RNA is filed under the name uncultured bacterium. RNAcentral's name for it is "bacterial SSU rRNA". It matches the Rfam family "Bacterial small subunit ribosomal RNA", at positions 355 to 825 of the family's 1533-position model. The record is from RNAcentral.